AGAAUCAACGCUGGCGGCGUGCCUAACACAUGCAAGUCGAACGAGAAAGUGGGAGCAAUCCCACGAGUAAAGUGGCGCACAGGUGAGUAACACGUGACUAACCUACCCUUGAGUGGGGGAUAACCUAGGGAAACCUGGGCUAAUACCGCAUAAUACCUACGGGUCAAAGGAGCAAUUCGCUUUAGGAGGGGUCGCGGCAGAUUAGUUAGUUGGCGGGGUAAUGGCCCACCAAGACAGUGAUCUGUA
RNAcentral lists this ribosomal RNA (246 nucleotides) under uncultured bacterium. RNAcentral describes it as "partial small subunit ribosomal RNA". It matches the Rfam family "Bacterial small subunit ribosomal RNA", at positions 26 to 285 of the family's 1533-position model. The record is from RNAcentral.